UGAACGCACAUUGCGCCCCUUGGUAUUCCAGGGGGCAUGCCUGUUUGAGCGUCAUUU
This 57-nucleotide ribosomal RNA is filed under the name Saccharomyces cerevisiae BY4741. Its description in RNAcentral is "5.8S ribosomal RNA from Saccharomyces cerevisiae BY4741 (PDB 7R6Q, chain 2)". It matches the Rfam family "5.8S ribosomal RNA", at positions 101 to 154 of the family's 154-position model. From Rfam's summary of the family: 5.8S ribosomal RNA (5.8S rRNA) is a component of the large subunit of the eukaryotic ribosome. It is transcribed by RNA polymerase I as part of the 45S precursor that also contains 18S and 28S rRNA. Functionally, it is thought that 5.8S rRNA may be involved in ribosome translocation. Lineage: Eukaryota; Fungi; Ascomycota; Saccharomycetes; Saccharomycetales; Saccharomycetaceae. The record is from RNAcentral.